UACGUAGGGGGCGAGCGUUGUCCGGAUUUAUUGGGUGUAAAGGGUGCGUAGACGGAUAAUUAAGUUGGUUGUGAAAGCCCCAGGCUCAACUUGGGAAGUGCAACCAAAACUGAUAAUCUUGAGUGUAGGAGAGGGAAGUGGAAUUCCUAGUGUAGCGGUGAAAUGCGUAGAGAUUAGGAGGAACACCAGUGGCGAAGGCGACUUCCUGGACUAUAACUGACGUUGAGGCACGAAAGUGUGGGGAGCAAAC
This 250-nucleotide ribosomal RNA is filed under the name uncultured prokaryote. RNAcentral describes it as "partial 16S ribosomal RNA". It matches the Rfam family "Bacterial small subunit ribosomal RNA", at positions 524 to 773 of the family's 1533-position model. The record is from RNAcentral.